GCCGAAAUGGCUCAAUUGGUAGAGCAACUGACUUGUAAUCAGUAGGUUCCGGGUUCAAGUCCUGGUUUCGGCACCA
This 76-nucleotide transfer RNA is filed under the name Mycoplasmatota bacterium. RNAcentral describes it as "Tenericutes bacterium (anaerobic digester metagenome) tRNA-Thr". It matches the Rfam family "tRNA". Rfam says of the family: Transfer RNA (tRNA) molecules are approximately 80 nucleotides in length. Their secondary structure includes four short double-helical elements and three loops (D, anti-codon, and T loops). RNAcentral also lists the same sequence under 1 other name. The record is from RNAcentral. Lineage: Bacteria; Bacillati; Mycoplasmatota.